AUAAGGGCCAUCAUUCUCCAAGAAUAUUAACACAUUAUUUGAUUAGUAUCUUUUUUCAGACAUCAUACUAAUUGUUUAAGACACAGAUACUUGGAAACAUUCAGCAAAGCAUUAACCAACUUCAUAUCCAUAAAUAGUUCUAACCCAAAUGCAAGACACAUAAACAUAUCUUUGGUUGAGCAAAGCUUGAUUGUGAAACAGCUGCAUCUGGAUCAUAUGGCAGCCUCCCUGGCAAUAUUUCUAGGUGAGGGCAAACCAGCAACAACAUCUUCCUCAAUCCCACACUCAUUCGUUCCUCUUCUUAUCUUGAAGUAGCCAUCAUCGCCCCAGCCUCUGUUCCACUGAUUUGCCAAAAGCCAAUAAUCCUCUCCAUCAUCCGUUGUUCCCCAUCCAAUAAGCUUUACAGCAUGCCCUCCCAUUACAUCGCCAGUAAUAUAUUUGUAAACCCCAGAUUUAUAGUGAGCAAAAUCCUCAUACACCGUGAAGGAAACCUCGACUGGUCCGUUCUUAUAAACUUCUGCCAUGAUAUCAUAGGGAUCUGUUUUAAUCCUAUAAGCAUUAACACCAUAGUGCUUUGUUUUUCUCCAAAUCUGGUUCUUAUCUACGCAAUGCCUGACACAUUUAGGAGUAGGAUAUGCAGGUUCACAACCAGGAUGGGAACAACCAGUAGUGUCAAAAUAUGGAUCACACUGUUCAGUAACAACUCCAUGGCGAACAAAGUAUCGCCAUGCAGAAAUUGGGUAACCCCCAUCACAGCCGUCACCACACAUGAAGCCACAGCAUGCCAAAAGAUCAUUAACAGACAGAGAAAUGUUCGUGUCAAAAUGGAUGCAGAAUCGAUCUGAAAGUGACUCAACAGCACCAAAUGCCCAGCAAGAACCACAGUGCCCCUGAUCUAGAAUGGUUCCAAUGCUGAUACACUGAGGCCAAGCUUCUCUUGCAUCAAAGCUUUUUGGCAACUUUAAAGACUUGGGAUGGGAUAAAACAGGGGUACUUUUCAAAUCCUUUUCAGGAGUUUGUUUGACACCAAGCAGGUACUUGAAUUGGCUAACAGAAUAGUUUGAAAACCGUGGGUUCAUGGUAGCUUUCCAGCCAGCCUGUGGGUGUUCAUUUACAUGCUGAACGAUAGACUCCUGAAGAAUAUCAGCGUCGAGUUUGAACUUUAGAACUUGUUCCUCCGCAUAGACCUGAUGAUGGAAGGUGCAGACGGCAGCCAAAAAUAGCAAGGAAAGGGAAAAAUACAAGUGAGAUGAUGCCAUUUCCUUGCUAUUUUGGAAGGCAGAAUCAGAAUCAGAAGCAGAAACAAAGGCGAUGGAGAUGGAGGAGGAAGAG
This 1332-nucleotide unclassified non-coding RNA is filed under the name Hevea brasiliensis (rubber tree). Lineage: Eukaryota; Viridiplantae; Streptophyta; Magnoliopsida; Malpighiales; Euphorbiaceae. The record is from RNAcentral.